GAUGAACGCUAGCGGCAGGCUUAACACAUGCAAGUCGAACGGUAAGGCCCUGCUUGCAGGGUACACGAGUGGCGCACGGGUGCGUAACGCGUAUGCAACCUACCUUUUACUGAGGAAUAGCCCCGAGAAAUUGGGAAUAAUACCUCAUAUUAUCAUAAAACAGCAUUGUUUAAUGAUUAAAGCUCCGGCGGUAAAAGAUGGGCAUGCGUGACAUUAGUUUGUUGGUAAGGUAACGGCUUACCAAGACUACGAUGUCUAGGGGUUCUGAGAGGAUUAUCCCCCACACUGGUACUGAGACACGGACCAGACUCCUACGGGAGGCAGCAGUGAGGAAUAUUGGGCAAUGGACGAAAGUCUGACCCAGCCAUGCCGCGUGCAGGAUGACGGCCCUAUGGGUUGUAAACUGCUUUUAUAUGGGAAGAAACCCGAAGACGUGUCUUCGGCUGACGGUACCAUACGAAUAAGGAUCGGCUAACUCCGUGCCAGCAGCCGCGGUAAUACGGAGGAUCCAAGCGUUAUCCGGAUUUAUUGGGUUUAAAGGGUGCGCAGGCGGCCUUAUAAGUCAGUGGUGAAAUCUCUCGGCUCAACCGAGAAACUGCCAUUGAAACUAUAAGGCUAGAAUACAGACGAGGUAGGCGGAAUGUAGCAUGUAGCGGUGAAAUGCUUAGAUAUGCUACAGAACACCAAUCGCGAAGGCAGCUUACCAGACUGUAAUUGACGCUAAGGCACGAAAGCGUGGGGAGCGAACAGGAUUAGAUACCCUGGUAGUCCACGCCGUAAACGAUGAUUACUCGAUGUUGGUGAUACACUAUCAGCGUCCAAGCGAAAGCGUUAAGUAAUCCACCUGGGGAGUACGAUCGCAAGGUUGAAACUCAAAGGAAUUGACGGGGGCCCGCACAAGCGGAGGAGCAUGUGGUUUAAUUCGAUGAUACGCGAGGAACCUUACCUAGACUUAAAUGUAGAUUGCAUAGAGUAGAAAUAUUCUUUUCCUUCGGGACUAUUUACAAGGUGCU
RNAcentral lists this ribosomal RNA (1013 nucleotides) under uncultured Bacteroidota bacterium. RNAcentral describes it as "bacterial SSU rRNA". It matches the Rfam family "Bacterial small subunit ribosomal RNA", at positions 28 to 1042 of the family's 1533-position model. Lineage: Bacteria; Pseudomonadati; Bacteroidota. The record is from RNAcentral.